CACACACACACACACAAUGAGACAGAGGGAGUUAAAGAAUAGGGUUAGAGCACAGAUACACAUUCAUUAGAACCCAGACACAUAUUUAUUAGAGGGAGGGAGAGCUCUGGGUUAGAGAGAGAAGAGAGAGAGAGGUAGAGAGAGGGAGGGGAAAGAGAAGAGAGAGAGAGAGAGGGAGAGAGAGAAGAAAGAAGAGAGAGAAGAGAGAAAGAGGGAGGGAGAGCUCUGUUUAUAUCUCCACGCCUAGGGACAUCUGUAUGAGUCACAGAGAGGGAAGAGAGAAGAGAGAGAAGAGAGAGGAGAGUAAAAAGAGAGAAGAGAGAGAAGAGAGAAGAGAGAGGAGAGAGAGGAGAGAGAAGGGAGAGAAGAGAGAGGGAAGAGAGAGGAGAGGGAAGAGAGAGAAGAGGGAAGAGAGAAGAGAGAGAAGAGAAGAGAAGAGAUGAGACUCAUUUUAGUGCUGCUGCUCAUCUUACUGUUUCUUCAGGAUUCACAUGCCAAACGAAAGGGAAGCCGAGCAAAAAAGAAGGGAAGAGGAAGUAACAUGCCAGCUGGAAUAUUAAACCCUGUGAACCAAGGGACGAACUCCAUAGACCUGUCCACAAUCGUAGAGGACAACAUUGUGCGGGAACAUGUGCGAG
Long non-coding RNA from Clupea harengus (Atlantic herring), 638 nucleotides. Lineage: Eukaryota; Metazoa; Chordata; Actinopteri; Clupeiformes; Clupeidae. The record is from Ensembl.